This 460-nucleotide ribosomal RNA is filed under the name uncultured bacterium. Its description in RNAcentral is "bacterial SSU rRNA". It matches the Rfam family "Bacterial small subunit ribosomal RNA", at positions 8 to 518 of the family's 1533-position model. The record is from RNAcentral.
AGAGUUGAUAUGGCUCAGGAUGAACGCUGGCGGCGUGCCUAACACAUGCAAGUCGAACGGGGUAGAAAUACCUAGUGGCGGACGGGUGAGUAACGCGUGAGAAUCUGCCUCAGGACAGGGACAACAGUGGAAACGACUGCUAAGACCCGAUGUGCCGCAAGGUGAAAAAUUUAUUGCCUGAAGAUGAGCUCGCGUCUGAUUAGCUAGUUGGUGGGGUAAGAGCGUACCAAGGCGACGAUCAGUAGCUGGUCUGAGAGGAUGAGCAGCCACACUGGGACUGAGACACGGCCCAGACUCCUACGGGAGGCAGCAGUGGGGAAUUUUCCGCAAUGGGCGAAAGCCUGACGGAGCAACGCCGCGUGAGGGAGGAAGGCCCUUGGGUUGUAAACCUCUUUCUCAGGGAAGAAAAAAUGACGGUACCUGAGGAAUCAGCAUCGGCUAACUCCGUGCCAGCCGCAGC